This 74-nucleotide transfer RNA is filed under the name Neoakkermansia glycaniphila. RNAcentral's name for it is "Akkermansia glycaniphila tRNA". It matches the Rfam family "tRNA". From Rfam's summary of the family: Transfer RNA (tRNA) molecules are approximately 80 nucleotides in length. Lineage: Bacteria; Pseudomonadati; Verrucomicrobiota; Verrucomicrobiia; Verrucomicrobiales; Akkermansiaceae. The record is from Rfam by way of RNAcentral.
GCUCCGUUAGCUCAGUUGGAUAGAGCAACAGCCUUCUAAGCUGUGGGUCAUUGGUUCGAAUCCAAUACGGGGCG